Molecule: ribosomal RNA, 495 nt
Filed under: uncultured bacterium
Lineage: Bacteria
Description: partial 16S ribosomal RNA
Rfam family: Bacterial small subunit ribosomal RNA
Source: RNAcentral
GACGAACGCUGGCGGCGUGCCUAAUACAUGCAAGUAGAACGCUGAAGGCGGAGCUUGCUUCGCUGGAUGAGUUGCGAACGGGUGAGUAACGCGUAGGUAACCUGCCUGGUAGCGGGGGAUAACUAUUGGAAACGAUAGCUAAUACCGCAUAAUAGUAGAUGUUGCAUGACAUUUGCUUAAAAGGUGCAAUUGCAUCACUACCAGAUGGACCUGCGUUGUAUUAGCUAGUUGGUGAGGUAACGGAUCACCAAGGCAACGAAACAUAGCCGACCUGAGAGGGGGAUCGGCCACACUGGGACUGUGACACGCCCCAGACUCCUACAGGAGGCAGCAGUAGGGAUUCUGCGGCAAUGGAUGGAGGUCUGACCGAGCAACGCCGCGUGAGUGAGGAGGAAUGUCGGAUCGUAAAGCACGGUUGUAAGAGAAGAACGAGUGUGAGAGUGGAAAGUUCACUGUGUGACGGUAUCUGGCAAGAAAGGGACGGCUAACUACGUG